This 440-nucleotide ribosomal RNA is filed under the name uncultured bacterium. RNAcentral describes it as "partial 16S ribosomal RNA". It matches the Rfam family "Bacterial small subunit ribosomal RNA", at positions 338 to 795 of the family's 1533-position model. The record is from RNAcentral.
CCUACGGGUGGCAGCAGUGGGGAAUAUUGGACAAUGGGGGAAACCCUUAUCCAGCGACGCCGCGUGAGGGAAGAAGGUUUUCGGAUUGUAAACCUCUGUCAGUGGGGACGAUAAUGACGGUACCCACGGAGGAAGCCACGGCUAACUACGUGCCAGCAGCCGCGGUAAUACGUAGGUGGCAAGCGUUGUCCGGAAUUACUGGGUGUAAAGGGAGCGUAGGCGGGAUGUCAAGUCAGAAGUGAAAAUUAGGGGCUAAAUUUAUAACCUGCUUUUGAAACUGAUAUUUUGGAGGGAAGUAGAGGCAAGCGGAAGUCCUGGUGUAGCGGUGAAAGGCGUAGAUAGUAGGAGGAACACCAGUGGCGAAGGCGGCUUGCUGGGCUUUUACGGACGCGGAGGCUCGAAAGCGUGGGGAGCAAACAGGAUUAGAUACCCCGGUAGUC